RNAcentral lists this ribosomal RNA (571 nucleotides) under Salmonella enterica. RNAcentral describes it as "partial 23S ribosomal RNA". It matches the Rfam family "Bacterial large subunit ribosomal RNA", at positions 2232 to 2802 of the family's 2925-position model. RNAcentral also lists the same sequence under 2 other names. The record is from RNAcentral. Lineage: Bacteria; Pseudomonadati; Pseudomonadota; Gammaproteobacteria; Enterobacterales; Enterobacteriaceae.
CCCGUUACCCGGGUUGCGGACAGUGUCUGGUGGGUAGUUUGACUGGGGCGGUCUCCUCCUAAAGAGUAACGGAGGAGCACGAAGGUUGGCUAAUCCUGGUCGGACAUCAGGAGGUUAGUGCAAUGGCAUAAGCCAGCUUGACUGCGAGCGUGACGGCGCGAGCAGGUGCGAAAGCAGGUCAUAGUGAUCCGGUGGUUCUGAAUGGAAGGGCCAUCGCUCAACGGAUAAAAGGUACUCCGGGGAUAACAGGCUGAUACCGCCCAAGAGUUCAUAUCGACGGCGGUGUUUGGCACCUCGAUGUCGGCUCAUCACAUCCUGGGGCUGAAGUAGGUCCCAAGGGUAUGGCUGUUCGCCAUUUAAAGUGGUACGCGAGCUGGGUUUAGAACGUCGUGAGACAGUUCGGUCCCUAUCUGCCGUGGGCGCUGGAGAACUGAGGGGGGCUGCUCCUAGUACGAGAGGACCGGAGUGGACGCAUCACUGGUGUUCGGGUUGUCAUGCCAAUGGCACUGCCCGGUAGCUAAAUGCGGAAGAGAUAAGUGCUGAAAGCAUCUAAGCACGAAACUUGCCCCGA